RNAcentral lists this ribosomal RNA (154 nucleotides) under Inonotus hispidus. RNAcentral's name for it is "5.8S ribosomal RNA". It matches the Rfam family "5.8S ribosomal RNA". Rfam says of the family: 5.8S ribosomal RNA (5.8S rRNA) is a component of the large subunit of the eukaryotic ribosome. It is transcribed by RNA polymerase I as part of the 45S precursor that also contains 18S and 28S rRNA. Lineage: Eukaryota; Fungi; Basidiomycota; Agaricomycetes; Hymenochaetales; Hymenochaetaceae. The record is from RNAcentral.
UUGUACAACUUUCAACAACGGAUCUCUAGGCUCUCGCAUCGAUGAAGAACGCAGCGAAAUGCGAUAAGUAAUGUGAAUUGCAGAAUUCAGUGAAUCAUCGAAUCUUUGAACGCACCUUGCGCCCCUUGGUAUUCCGAGGGGCAUGCCUGUUUGA